GCUGGGUAUGGUAGCACAUGCCUGUAAUCCCAGUGGCUCAGGAGGCUGAGGCGGGAGGAUUGUGAGUUCAAAGCCAGCCUCAGCAACAGUGAGGUGCUAAGCAACUCAGUGAGACCCUGUCUCUA
RNAcentral lists this small RNA (125 nucleotides) under Marmota monax (woodchuck). Lineage: Eukaryota; Metazoa; Chordata; Mammalia; Rodentia; Sciuridae. The record is from RNAcentral.